UUACAAUUACAUUACAAGAAUAUGUUUAAACAUUAAGCUAGUAGCAAUAUAUAAAACAAAAUAACAACACUAAAAGACAAUAUCAGUACAUUAUAUAUGAGAAAUAAUAUUAAAACUAAUACUUACACUAAUAUGAUUAAAAUAUCUGUAUAAAACCGGUUUUAAGGUUAUUAUAUAAAUGAUAUUUUUAUAUAGUUCAAUCCUUCGGAUGGCUGGUAUCGUCAUUCUGAUGCUUGUCUUCUAUAUUUCUUCUAUUGAUAGCAUGACUCCUUGGACAGCAGAGCCUGUGUCUUUCUUUCUUAUUUCUAACGCUGCUAUCAGUUUCUUUCAGCACAUAUUCCCAUGCUUGGGGAAGCUGUACCAUUGGUCGUUCAUUGAGG
This 380-nucleotide long non-coding RNA is filed under the name Androctonus crassicauda. Lineage: Eukaryota; Metazoa; Arthropoda; Arachnida; Scorpiones; Buthidae. The record is from RNAcentral.